RNAcentral lists this ribosomal RNA (2907 nucleotides) under Salmonella enterica subsp. enterica serovar Senftenberg. RNAcentral describes it as "23S ribosomal RNA". It matches the Rfam family "Bacterial large subunit ribosomal RNA". The record is from RNAcentral. Lineage: Bacteria; Pseudomonadati; Pseudomonadota; Gammaproteobacteria; Enterobacterales; Enterobacteriaceae.
GGUUAAGCGACUAAGCGUACACGGUGGAUGCCCUGGCAGUCAGAGGCGAUGAAGGACGUGCUAAUCUGCGAUAAGCGCCGGUAAGGUGAUAUGAACCGUUAUAACCGGCGAUUUCCGAAUGGGGAAACCCAGUGUGACUCGUCACACUAUCAUUAACUGAAUCCAUAGGUUAAUGAGGCGAACCGGGGGAACUGAAACAUCUAAGUACCCCGAGGAAAAGAAAUCAACCGAGAUUCCCCCAGUAGCGGCGAGCGAACGGGGAGGAGCCCAGAGCCUGAAUCAGCAUGUGUGUUAGUGGAAGCGUCUGGAAAGGCGCGCGAUACAGGGUGACAGCCCCGUACACAAAAGCGCAUGUGCUGUGAGCUCGAUGAGUAGGGCGGGACACGUGGUAUCCUGUCUGAAUAUGGGGGGACCAUCCUCCAAGGCUAAAUACUCCUGACUGACCGAUAGUGAACCAGUACCGUGAGGGAAAGGCGAAAAGAACCCCGGCGAGGGGAGUGAAAAAGAACCUGAAACCGUGUACGUACAAGCAGUGGGAGCACAGGUUUACCUGUGUGACUGCGUACCUUUUGUAUAAUGGGUCAGCGACUUAUAUUCUGUAGCAAGGUUAACCGAAUAGGGGAGCCGGAGGGAAACCGAGUCUUAAUUGGGCGUUAAGUUGCAGGGUAUAGACCCGAAACCCGGUGAUCUAGCCAUGGGCAGGUUGAAGGUUGGGUAACACUAACUGGAGGACCGAACCGACUAAUGUUGAAAAAUUAGCGGAUGACCUGUGGCUGGGGGUGAAAGGCCAAUCAAACCGGGAGAUAGCUGGUUCUCCCCGAAAGCUAUUUAGGUAGCGCCUCGUGAAUUCAUCUCCGGGGGUAGAGCACUGUUUCGGCUAGGGGGCCAUCCCGGCUUACCAACCCGAUGCAAACUGCGAAUACCGGAGAAUGUUAUCACGGGAGACACACGGCGGGUGCUAACGUCCGUCGUGAAGAGGGAAACAACCCAGACCGCCAGCUAAGGUCCCAAAGUCAUGGUUAAGUGGGAAACGAUGUGGGAAGGCCCAGACAGCCAGGAUGUUGGCUUAGAAGCAGCCAUCAUUUAAAGAAAGCGUAAUAGCUCACUGGUCGAGUCGGCCUGCGCGGAAGAUGUAACGGGGCUAAACCAUGCACCGAAGCUGCGGCAGCGACACUGUGUGUUGUUGGGUAGGGGAGCGUUCUGUAAGCCUGCGAAGGUGGCCUGUGAGGGUUGCUGGAGGUAUCAGAAGUGCGAAUGCUGACAUAAGUAACGAUAAAGCGGGUGAAAAGCCCGCUCGCCGGAAGACCAAGGGUUCCUGUCCAACGUUAAUCGGGGCAGGGUGAGUCGACCCCUAAGGCGAGGCCGAAAGGCGUAGUCGAUGGGAAACGGGUUAAUAUUCCCGUACUUGGUGUUACUGCGAAGGGGGGACGGAGAAGGCUAUGUUGGCCGGGCGACGGUUGUCCCGGUUUAAGCGUGUAGGUGUGUGUUCCAGGUAAAUCCGGUUCACUUUAACACUGAGGCGUGACGACGAGGCACUACGGUGCUGAAGCAACAAAUGCCCUGCUUCCAGGAAAAGCCUCUAAGCAUCAGGUAACAUCAAAUCGUACCCCAAACCGACACAGGUGGUCAGGUAGAGAAUACCAAGGCGCUUGAGAGAACUCGGGUGAAGGAACUAGGCAAAAUGGUGCCGUAACUUCGGGAGAAGGCACGCUGACAUGUAGGUGAAGUGAUUUACUCAUGGAGCUGAAGUCAGUCGAAGAUACCAGCUGGCUGCAACUGUUUAUUAAAAACACAGCACUGUGCAAACACGAAAGUGGACGUAUACGGUGUGACGCCUGCCCGGUGCCGGAAGGUUAAUUGAUGGGGUCAGCGCAAGCGAAGCUCCUGAUCGAAGCCCCGGUAAACGGCGGCCGUAACUAUAACGGUCCUAAGGUAGCGAAAUUCCUUGUCGGGUAAGUUCCGACCUGCACGAAUGGCGUAAUGAUGGCCAGGCUGUCUCCACCCGAGACUCAGUGAAAUUGAACUCGCUGUGAAGAUGCAGUGUACCCGCGGCAAGACGGAAAGACCCCGUGAACCUUUACUAUAGCUUGACACUGAACAUUGAGCCUUGAUGUGUAGGAUAGGUGGGAGGCUUUGAAGUGUGGACGCCAGUCUGCAUGGAGCCGACCUUGAAAUACCACCCUUUAAUGUUUGAUGUUCUAACGUGGACCCGUAAUCCGGGUUGCGGACAGUGUCUGGUGGGUAGUUUGACUGGGGCGGUCUCCUCCUAAAGAGUAACGGAGGAGCACGAAGGUUGGCUAAUCCUGGUCGGACAUCAGGAGGUUAGUGCAAUGGCAUAAGCCAGCUUGACUGCGAGCGUGACGGCGCGAGCAGGUGCGAAAGCAGGUCAUAGUGAUCCGGUGGUUCUGAAUGGAAGGGCCAUCGCUCAACGGAUAAAAGGUACUCCGGGGAUAACAGGCUGAUACCGCCCAAGAGUUCAUAUCGACGGCGGUGUUUGGCACCUCGAUGUCGGCUCAUCACAUCCUGGGGCUGAAGUAGGUCCCAAGGGUAUGGCUGUUCGCCAUUUAAAGUGGUACGCGAGCUGGGUUUAGAACGUCGUGAGACAGUUCGGUCCCUAUCUGCCGUGGGCGCUGGAGAACUGAGGGGGGCUGCUCCUAGUACGAGAGGACCGGAGUGGACGCAUCACUGGUGUUCGGGUUGUCAUGCCAAUGGCACUGCCCGGUAGCUAAAUGCGGAAGAGAUAAGUGCUGAAAGCAUCUAAGCACGAAACUUGCCCCGAGAUGAGUUCUCCCUGAGACUUAGAGUCUCCUGAAGGAACGUUGAAGACGACGACGUUGAUAGGCCGGGUGUGUAAGCGCAGCGAUGCGUUGAGCUAACCGGUACUAAUGAACCGUGAGGCUUAACCUU